GAUGAAGAACGCAGCGAAAUGCGAUACUUGGUGUGAAUUGCAGAAUCCCGUGAACCAUCGAGUCUUUGAACGCAAGUUGCGCCCGAAGCCAUUAGGCCGAGGGCACGCCUGCCUGGGCGUCACACGUCGUUGCCCCCCCAUCUAAUCCUUCGGGAUUGUGGGGGGCGGAUGAUGGCCUCCCGUGCGCCUCGUCGCGCGGUUGGCAUAAAUGCCAAGUCCUCGGCGACGCACGCCACGACAAUCGGUGGUUGCGAAACCUCGGUUGCCCGUUGUGUGCGGUCGUCGCGCAUCGAGGGCUCGAAAAAAUUGCCGGGCUCCGGCUCGACUUUCAACGCGACCCCAGGUCAGGCGGGGUUACCCGCUGAAUUUAAGCAUAUCAAUAAGCGGAGGA
This 391-nucleotide unclassified non-coding RNA is filed under the name soil metagenome. RNAcentral describes it as "partial contains 5.8S ribosomal RNA, internal transcribed spacer 2, and large subunit ribosomal RNA". The stretch from base 1 to 122 matches the Rfam family "5.8S ribosomal RNA", at positions 35 to 154 of the family's 154-position model. The record is from RNAcentral.